RNAcentral lists this ribosomal RNA (253 nucleotides) under uncultured bacterium. RNAcentral's name for it is "partial 16S ribosomal RNA". It matches the Rfam family "Bacterial small subunit ribosomal RNA", at positions 524 to 776 of the family's 1533-position model. The record is from RNAcentral.
UACGUAGGGCGCGAGCGUUGUCCGGAAUCAUUGGGCGUAAGAGCGUGUAGGCGGCUGGGUAGGUCCGUUGUGAAAACUCGAGCUCAACCUCGAGACGCCGUAGUGGAAACCCUCCAGCUAGAGUCCGGAAGAGGAGAGUGGAAUUCCUGGUGUAGCGGUGAAAUGCGCAGAUAUCAGGAAGAACACCCGUGGCUAAGGCGGCUCUCUAGUACGGUACUGACGCUGAGACGCGAAAGCGUGGGGAGCGAACAGG